This 300-nucleotide ribosomal RNA is filed under the name uncultured Lactobacillus sp. RNAcentral describes it as "bacterial SSU rRNA". It matches the Rfam family "Bacterial small subunit ribosomal RNA", at positions 496 to 795 of the family's 1533-position model. Lineage: Bacteria; Bacillati; Bacillota; Bacilli; Lactobacillales; Lactobacillaceae. The record is from RNAcentral.
AUUAAUUGCGGGCAAGCAGUGGCGGUAAGACGGAGGGGGCAAGCGUGACUCGGAAUCACUGGGCGUAAAGGGCGCGUAGGCGGUUCAGUAAGUCAGGUGUGAAAUCCGAUGGGUCAACCAGAGAACGGCACUUGAAACUGCUAGACUAGAGUAUGGGAGGGGGAGAUGGAAUUAGUGGUGUAGGGGUAAAAUCCGUAGAUAUCACUAGGAAUAUCUAAAGCGAAGGCGAUCUCCUGGAACAUUACUGACGCUAAGGCGUGAAAGCGUGGGGAGCAAACAGGAUUAGAUACCCUGGUAGUC